RNAcentral lists this ribosomal RNA (67 nucleotides) under Zingiber officinale. RNAcentral's name for it is "partial 18S ribosomal RNA". The record is from RNAcentral. Lineage: Eukaryota; Viridiplantae; Streptophyta; Magnoliopsida; Zingiberales; Zingiberaceae.
GAUGCCUCCUAGAUUUGAAAGUAAAAGUCGUACCAAGGUUUCCGUAGGUGAACCUGCGGAACGAUCA